UGGGGAAUAUUGCGCAAUGGGCGAAAGCCUGACGCAGCGACGCCGCGUGAGGGAUGACGGCCUUCGGGUUGUAAACCUCUUUCAGCAGGGACGAAGCGCAAGUGACGGUACCUGCAGAAGAAGCACCGGCCAACUACGUGCCAGCAGCCGCGGUAAGACGUAGGGUGCAAGCGUUGUCCGGAUUUAUUGGGCGUAAAGAGCUCGUAGGCGGCUCGUCGCGUCGACCGUGAAAACUCCAGGCUUAACCUGGGGCCUGCGGUCGAUACGGGCGGGCUAGAGUUCGGUAGGGGAGACUGGAAUUCCUGGUGUAGCGGUGAAAUGCGCAGAUAUCAGGAGGAACACCGGUGGCGAAGGCGGGUCUCUGGGCCGAUACUGACGCUGAGGAGCGAAAGCGUGGGGAGCGAACAG
Molecule: ribosomal RNA, 408 nt
Filed under: uncultured bacterium
Lineage: Bacteria
Description: bacterial SSU rRNA
Rfam family: Bacterial small subunit ribosomal RNA
Source: RNAcentral